This 70-nucleotide transfer RNA is filed under the name Paraburkholderia phenoliruptrix. RNAcentral's name for it is "tRNA-Ser". Lineage: Bacteria; Pseudomonadati; Pseudomonadota; Betaproteobacteria; Burkholderiales; Burkholderiaceae. The record is from RNAcentral.
GUGGCUGGUGAGUAGGACAGCAGGAAAGCGCUUUGGCGUGAGCAGGGUUCGAAUCCCUGCCGCCCCUCCA